CUCAUGGCCAUGCUAAUGGAGAGAGAACAGCCCCAUCAGCCAGGACACAGGUGAGAUUCCAGGAGCCACGCAGCUCCCCGCAGAGCCCACCGGCCCUCAGCAGACAGGACACAGGUGAGAUUCCACAGGUGCACAGACUGCGAAACUCACGCUCUGGGAUGCGGGUCCCAGCCUGGGGCUGACAAACUGUGUGACUUAGAGCUUAGAGCAAGUAUCUUCAACCCUCUGUGCCUCAGCUUUCUCUUCUGAAAAAUCAGAAUUACGGCAUCUGCUUCACAGCAGCAGUGAGAGGACCGGAUAAAAGGACACACAAGAAGCCCGGAUCCCUGUGUGUGAUGAAGAAAAAGCCUUGCAAAUGUCACCUUUGUCAACGACGCUAGGAAGAUCUAUGCACUUAGAAGUCACUACUCAGGCCAGGCAUGGUGGCUCACACCUAUAGUCCCAGCACUCUGGGAGGCUGAGGAAGAUAG
Molecule: long non-coding RNA, 470 nt
Organism: Cercocebus atys (sooty mangabey)
Lineage: Eukaryota; Metazoa; Chordata; Mammalia; Primates; Cercopithecidae
Exons: 3
Source: RefSeq, a predicted model, not a curated record